RNAcentral lists this unclassified non-coding RNA (468 nucleotides) under uncultured Actinomycetes bacterium. RNAcentral's name for it is "uncultured actinobacterium partial contains 16S ribosomal RNA, 16S-23S ribosomal RNA intergenic spacer, and 23S ribosomal RNA". The stretch from base 355 to 468 matches the Rfam family "Bacterial large subunit ribosomal RNA", at positions 1 to 113 of the family's 2925-position model. Lineage: Bacteria; Bacillati; Actinomycetota; Actinomycetes. The record is from RNAcentral.
UGCGGCUGGAUCCCCUCCUUUCUAGGGAGAUGCGGCGGCACCAACCGUCGCGGACGCGUCGCCCGCCCGGCAUGCGCCAUCGCCGGGAGGACCGGCGGCCAUGGGAGACCACGGCCGUCCGGAAGGGGCUCGACGCGACCCUGGUCGAUACGUCGACACCUUGGCUCUCGCGCACACCGUCUGUCGGAGACCCAAACCAACCUUCUGGGGCUCGUGCCGGCAGGUCGCGGUGGGCGUGGUCGCGCUGUUCAGUCUUCAGGGAUCGCCGAGGGCGACCCUGGGUCUCGAGUCGCCGCCUUCGGGCGGCGGGCGUACCUUGAAAACUGCACAGUGACACGUCGGUGUGUUCUAUCGAGUCAAGUAAGUACGGGCACACGGUGGAUGCCUUGGCACCAGGAGCCGACGAAGGACGUGGAUGGCUGCGAUAAGCCGCGGUGAGGCGCUGAACGGCCUUUGACCCGCGGAUCU